GGGGUAGCAAUACCUGCUGGCGACCGGCAAACGGGUGCGGAACACGUACAGAACCUUCCUUUAAGCGGGGGAUAGCCCAUAGAAAUGUGGAUUAAUACCCCAUAGUAAUAUUUGAUGGCAUCAUUAGAUAUUUAAAGAUUUAUCACUUAAAGAUGGCUGUGCGGCUGAUUAGGUAAUUGGUUGGGGUAACGGCCCACCAAGCCAUCGAUCAGUAACUGGUGUGAGAGCACGACCAGUCACACGGGCACUGAGACACGGGCCCGACUCCUACGGGAGGCAGCAGUAAGGAAUAUUGGUCAAUGGACGGAAGUCUGAACCAGCCAUGCCGCGUGAAGGAUGAAGGCCCUCUGGGUUGUAAACUUCUUUUAUCUGGGAAGAAAUGCCUGUUUUUUAACGGGUUUGACGGUACCAGAGGAAUAAGCACCGGCUAACUCCGUGCCAGCAGCCGCGGUAAUACGGAGGGUGCAAGCGCUAUCCGGAUUCACUGGGUUUAAAGGGUGCGUAGGUGGGUUGGUAAGUCAGUGGUGAAAUCUCCGUGCUUAACAU
RNAcentral lists this ribosomal RNA (546 nucleotides) under uncultured Bacteroidota bacterium. RNAcentral's name for it is "bacterial SSU rRNA". It matches the Rfam family "Bacterial small subunit ribosomal RNA", at positions 73 to 615 of the family's 1533-position model. The record is from RNAcentral. Lineage: Bacteria; Pseudomonadati; Bacteroidota.